GAUCCGAGACACAGCCUGUGUUCUGUGUAGGGUACACGAGGAGACAGUGGAUCACCUAUUCUCUCAAUGCGUCUUUAUCAAGUUCUGCAUGGUGAGAAUUCUCGAGGGAGUUCAGGCUGGGGAGCUGGGAGUUGACGUUCUUCAUGUUUGGGAUAGGUGGAUGGCCAAGAAAGGAGUGCACUGUAAGCGGAACAGCCUAUCUGAAUUGGUCGCUUGCUGGUGGACCAUUUGGAAGGUCAGGAACGAAUUGAUUUUUCGAAACAUUAAUUAUGAUCCUGUUUUGGUCGUUCAUAGGAUUAUGCAGCUUCUGAAAUCCUGGAAAUCCCUCCGGCAAUCGAAAUAGUAGCACGGGCCGUUUUUUUUUUUUUUUUUUCCGACUGUUGCAUCUCUCCCAGAGGCCCUGGUUGCCUCACUUCUGUAGCCUAGUUCAUAUAUUCUAUGAAUGAAACAUGUAGCGUGCUACUUUUACCUCAAAAAUAAUAAUAAUAAUAAUUUCACUCACAUCUGAAUAUCAAAU
This 517-nucleotide long non-coding RNA is filed under the name Ananas comosus (pineapple). RNAcentral's name for it is "long non-coding RNA (ACOM_LNC014303)". The record is from RNAcentral. Lineage: Eukaryota; Viridiplantae; Streptophyta; Magnoliopsida; Poales; Bromeliaceae.